RNAcentral lists this small nuclear RNA (323 nucleotides) under Neogale vison (American mink). Its description in RNAcentral is "Neovison vison (American mink) 7SK RNA (ENSNVIG00000005337.1)". It matches the Rfam family "7SK RNA". Rfam says of the family: 7SK was discovered as an abundant small nuclear RNA in the mid-70s but a possible function has only recently been suggested. Two independent studies have found that 7SK RNA binds the CDK9/cyclin T complex (known as elongation factor P-TEFb). Lineage: Eukaryota; Metazoa; Chordata; Mammalia; Carnivora; Mustelidae. The record is from Rfam by way of RNAcentral.
GGGCGUGAGGGCGAGUUGGCGCCGCAGAACCUGUCACCCCGUGAUCGGCAGCAUUGACUCAGCUGAUCUGGCUGACUGGGGGUGGGGGGUGUCCCGAUCCUCCCUCAUGGCUCUAUGUGUGUCCCUCCCAAAGCUGCACGUUUGGCUGGAGAGGUCUCCCCUCCCCGAUAGAAGAGGACCAUUAUAUGAGUAGCUCUGCUCCCCUGCUAGGACAGCCAACCAAGCUCUCAAGGUCCUUUUAUAGGAGGCCGUAGGUUCAUCAAGCUUCCAAGACUGCUGACACAGCCCAGUGAGGCGCUGCAGGUGGCAUUCUGCCUUCAAAA